RNAcentral lists this transfer RNA (72 nucleotides) under Pristionchus pacificus. It matches the Rfam family "tRNA". Rfam says of the family: Transfer RNA (tRNA) molecules are approximately 80 nucleotides in length. Their secondary structure includes four short double-helical elements and three loops (D, anti-codon, and T loops). Further hydrogen bonds mediate the characteristic L-shaped molecular structure. tRNAs have two regions of fundamental functional importance: the anti-codon, which is responsible for specific mRNA codon recognition, and the 3' end, to which the tRNAs corresponding amino acid is attached (by aminoacyl-tRNA synthetases). tRNAs cope with the degeneracy of the genetic code in two manners: having more than one tRNA (with a specific anti-codon) for a particular amino acid; and 'wobble' base-pairing, i.e. permitting non-standard base-pairing at the 3rd anti-codon position. The record is from Rfam by way of RNAcentral. Lineage: Eukaryota; Metazoa; Nematoda; Chromadorea; Rhabditida; Neodiplogasteridae.
GGGGGUAUAGCUCAGUGGUAGAACACCCGCAUACGUAUCGGAAGGUCGGGGGUUCGACUCCCCCUGCCUCCA